CCGACGAUUAGAGAUGAAAACAAGGACGCUUGUGAUUUUUCCUUCUAUUGUGAAAUAGAGUUGUACGGUGAUGUCAAUGAUGUCUGCGAGGGAAGUCCACCGUCUUGUCAGUCAAAAUUGUCCUGAAAACAUAAACAUAUUUCAACCACAACUUAGACCAAGGAUAUUGAGUCAAAAUCAAGGAAUCACGGUUAGAGUGAGACAAAGGUAUUAAGUAUUACUUCAAUGUUAGAUAUAUUCUUAAAAGGGAUAUAAGAAAAUGCACUGAAAGGCCAUAAAAGAAAGGGCUGCAGAUCAAGUAAAGACUUGUGUUUUGCGGACAGCAUAAACGGCGCGGGAACAGAAACAGAGAUGACAGACUAAGGCAAGGUAUGCGAAUGAAGUUUGAAAAAAGAAGUUUGACAAUUAUCCUUUCUUUAGGCAUUACUGAAUGAUCUUGCUUCGUAACUAACAAAGAAAAUAAAAGUAUCUUG
Biomphalaria glabrata is the source of this 473-nucleotide long non-coding RNA. RefSeq lists it as uncharacterized. The transcript is spliced from 3 exons. The record is from RefSeq and is a predicted model, not a curated record. Lineage: Eukaryota; Metazoa; Mollusca; Gastropoda; Planorbidae.